Molecule: ribosomal RNA, 462 nt
Filed under: uncultured Bacillota bacterium
Lineage: Bacteria; Bacillati; Bacillota
Description: bacterial SSU rRNA
Rfam family: Bacterial small subunit ribosomal RNA
Source: RNAcentral
GGCAGCAGUAGGGAAUCUUCCGCAAUGGGCGCAAGCCUGACGGAGCAACGCCGCGUGAGUGAAGAAGGCCUUCGGGUUGUAAAACUCUGUCAUCAGGGAAGAAGAAAGUGACGGUACCUGAGGAGGAAGCCCCGGCUAACUACGUGCCAGCAGCCGCGGUAAAACGUAGGGGGCGAGCGUUGUCCGGAAUUACUGGGCGUAAAGGGCGCGUAGGCGGUUAUCCAAGUCAGGGGUGAAAACCUUGGGCUCAACUCAGGGCCUGCCUCUGAAACUGGGUAACUUGAGGGCAGGAGAGGGGAGUGGAAUUCCCAGUGUAGCGGUGAAAUGCGUAGAUAUUGGGAGGAACACCAGUGGCGGAGGCGGCUCUCUGGCCUAACCCUGACGCUGAGGCGCGAAAGCGUGGGGAUCAAACAGGAUUAGAUACCCUGGUAGUCCACGCCGUAAACGAUGAGUGCUAAGUGU